UGGAAAGGCUGGACGACGAAAGGAAGC
Molecule: non-coding RNA, 27 nt
Filed under: Rattus norvegicus (Norway rat)
Lineage: Eukaryota; Metazoa; Chordata; Mammalia; Rodentia; Muridae
Source: RNAcentral